Molecule: RNase MRP RNA, 188 nt
Filed under: Helicotheca tamesis
Lineage: Eukaryota; Bacillariophyta; Thalassiosirophyceae; Lithodesmiales; Lithodesmiaceae
Description: partial RNase MRP
Rfam family: RNase MRP
About the family: RNase MRP is an enzymatically active ribonucleoprotein with two distinct roles in eukaryotes. In mitochondria it plays a direct role in the initiation of mitochondrial DNA replication.
Source: RNAcentral
UCUUGGGGAAAUUCCCCGGGCGCAAGGGCAGAGAGUGCCACCUGGAAACAGGAAUCCCGGCGCGAAUGCCGCUCUCGUGUAAGCGAAGACGGCCAGUUUCGGUUGGCCCGAGCCGGAGAGAGACGGCUUCGUCACACAGCCGCCGUCUUAGCAAAGUUAUGCUGUCUGUAAACACAACGGGGGUCACU